RNAcentral lists this long non-coding RNA (667 nucleotides) under Prunus dulcis (almond). RNAcentral describes it as "sRNA ncRNA". The record is from RNAcentral. Lineage: Eukaryota; Viridiplantae; Streptophyta; Magnoliopsida; Rosales; Rosaceae.
AAUUGAUCUUAGCUGCCUGGCGCGAACAAAACAAAAAAAAAAAACCCCCAAAUUUGCUUCCUCCCCAUAAAAGAAGAUAAAACCCUAGAAAGCAGAGGUUGGGUUUCCACGAAAAUUGAAGAUGAGGCCUGAAAUAAUUGACGGAGGGAAAGAGUUGGAUGUGGCGGCACCGCGUUGCUUUUGUGGGAAGAUAACUUGCUUACAAACUUCGUGGAUUAAGGCCAACCGACUUUGAAGAUUCCAUGUUUGUCCAAAAUCAUCAGGGGUAAGUUUUGUUAUUCAAAGUCUGUGAAUUGUGUUAUAAUUUUUUAUUAAUUGCUAUUAAUGGUUGAUGCAAAAAGGAAAAAAGGAUGUGGAUUUUUUGUUUGGGUGGAUGUUGAAUUUCCACCUAGAGAGAAGGCUCUGGUGACUUGGCUACUUAGAAAAUUGAAGGAACUUGAAAAAGACGUUGGGCGUUGUCAAUCAAGAGAAAGAAAGUUAAUGGGUUGCCUUAUUCUUUCCUGGGGUUUAGUAAUUAUAUUGUUGUUUUGGCAAUUUCUGUAAAAGUUGCUGCAAAAUUUGGCCAUUAGAGGUUGGUGAUGGAGGAAUUAGGCUGAUUUUAGAAGUCUGUAUUUUGUAACUGUAUGCAAAAUAUCAUGUAUUGGUACUUAUCUGAUGACGGAUGAAC